AGAGCGUAGGGAGGAUACCUAGGCACCAAGAGCCGAAGAAGGACGUGAUAAGCUGCGAAAAGCUAUGGUAAGGAGCAAAUAUCCUAUGACCCAUAGAUAUCCGAAUGAGGGAACUCAUCCACAGAAAAAAGUGUGGAUAUCCAUAUAUGAGUAAAGUAGUAUAUAGGAAGGGAACGCAAGGAACUGAAACAUCUUAGUACUUGUAGGAAGAGAAAGAAAAAUCGAUUCUGUGAGUAGUGGCGAGCGAAAGCGGAAGAGCCCAAACCAAUGUUGCUUGCAACGUUGGGGUUCGGACUACAUAAUCCAUUUAUCGAGCGAAUAAGAAUUGUUUGGGAAGGCAAAUCAUAGAAGGUGAAAAUCCUGUAUUAGAAGUGAGAUAGAGGAGGUAGUAUCCAGAGUAGUGCGAGGCACGUGAAACCUCGUAUGAAAGAGCGGGGACCACCCCGUAAGGCUAAAUACUACUUGGUGACCGAUAGAGAUUAGUACCGUGAGGGAAAGGUGAAAAGAACCCCGGGAGGGGAGUGAAAUAGAACAUGAAACCCUAUGCUUACAAACAGACAAAGCACGUUAAGGUGUGAUGUCGUACUUUUUGUAGAACGGUCCAGCGAGUUAUUGUAUAUGGCAAGGUUAAGCACUAUGUAAGGUGUGAAGCCGAAGCGAAAGCGAGUCUGAAAAGGGCGAAUUAAGUCAUAUGUAAUAGACCCGAAACCGGGUGACCUAACCAUGGUCAGGAUGAAGCUUGAGUAAAAUCAAGUGGAGGUCCGAACUGAUAAGCGUUAAAAAGCUUCCGGAUGAACUGUGGUUAGCGGAGAAAUUCCAAUCGAACUCGGAGAUAGCUGGUUCUCCUCGAAAUAGCUUUAGGGCUAGCCUUGAUGUAAAGAUAUAUGGGGGUAGAGCACUGAAGGUGCUAGGGGCCUAAACCAGGUUACUGAACACUAUCAAACUCCGAAUACCAUAUAUUAGUAGUCAGGAGUCAGACUGCGGGAGCUAAGUUCCGUGGUCAAAAGGGAAAGAGCCCAGAUCGUCAAUUAAGGUCCCAAAGAUAUAGCUAAGUGGGAAACGAUGUGAAAUUGCGUAAACAACCAGGAUGUUGGCUUAGAAGCAGCCAUACAUUUAAAGAGUGCGUAAUAGCUCACUGGUCGAGUGAAUUUGCGCGGAAAAUUACCGGGGCUAAGCUAUACACCGAAAUUGCGGGUUAUGAUGUAUCUAAUAAUGUGUAUCAGAAGGGUACAUAUUAUUAGAUACAUUGUAGCGGUAGAGGAGCAUUCUGUAGUAGGGUGAAGUAUGAUCGAAAGGACAUAUGGACGAGGCAGAAGAGAGAAUGCUGGAAUAAGUAGCGAGAGCAAAGUGAGAAUCUUUGCCGUCGAAAGUCUAAGGUUUCCUGGGGAAGGUUCGUCCGCCCAGGGUAAGUCGGGACCUAAGGUGAGGCCAAGGAGGCGUAGCCGAUGGAUAGCAGGUAUAAAAUUCCUGCACUACCGAAAUACUUAAAAACGAUAAGGGACGCAGGAGAGGAAGGAAAUCCGGGAAGAGGAAAAACCGGAGCCGAAAGGCAUAGUGAAAAUUUAAAGUAACGAAGUUCCAAGAAUCACACUGACGAGAAAAGCUUAUUGACAUUGUAUUAAGGUACCCGUACCGCAAACCGACACAGGUAGAUGAGGAGAGGAUCCUAAGACGAGCGAGAGAAGUACUGUUAAGGAACUCGGCAAACUAACCCCGUAACUUAGGGAGAAGGGGUACCUAUGUAAAAGUAGGUCGCAGAGAAGAGUCCCAAGCAACUGUUUAACAAAAACACAGGUUUCUGCUAAAUCGAAAGAUGAAGUAUAGGAGCUGACGCCUGCCCAGUGCUGGAAGGUUAAGGGGAAAUGUUAGAGUAAUCGAAGCAUAGAACUAAAGCCCCAGUGAACGGCGGCCGUAACUAUAACGGUCCUAAGGUAGCGAAAUUCCUUGUCAGGUAAGUUCUGACCCGCACGAAAGGCGUAAUGAUUUGGGCACUGUCUCGACAAUGUACCCGGCGAAAUUGUAGUACUAGUGAAGAUGCUAGUUACCUGCGACAAGACAGAAAGACCCCAUGGAGCUUUACUGUAGUUUGAUAUUGGGUUUUGGUAAUUUAUGUACAGGAUAGGUGGGAGACAGAGAAGGAUGUGCGUCAGCAUAUCUGGAGUCAACGUUGGGAUACCACUCUUAAGUUAUUGAAAUUCUAACUUGUGAUCAUAAACUGGUCAGAGGACAAUGUCAGACGGGCAGUUUGACUGGGGCGGUCGCCUCCAAAAGAGUAACGGAGGCGCCCAAAGGUUCCCUCAGUGCGGACAGAAAUCGCACAAAAGAGUGUAAAGGCAGAAGGGAGCUUAACUGGAAGAUAGACAUAUCGAGCAGAUACGAAAGUAGGGCUUAGUGAUCCGGUGGAAUUGAAUGGAAAAGCCAUCGCUCAACGGACAAAAGUUACCCUGGGGAUAACAGGCUUAUCUCCCCCAAGAGUUCACAUCGACGGGGAGGUUUGGCACCUCGAUGUCGGCUCAUCGCAUCCUGGAGCGGAAGUACGUUCCAAGGGUUGGGCUGUUCGCCCAUUAAAGCGGUACGCGAGCUGGGUUCAGAACGU
Molecule: ribosomal RNA, 2596 nt
Filed under: human gut metagenome
Description: bacterial LSU rRNA
Rfam family: Bacterial large subunit ribosomal RNA
Source: RNAcentral